CAAGGUUUCCUAGGAGUCCACGCUGGCAGUUGAUGCUGACAGUCCGUGGAUGCUCCUGGAUAACAUCUGUCGUGAGCUAAGCAUCCCUGGGCAAAGAAAUUGCUGGGUUCCUGGUGGGACCUUCCUUUAAUGGCUCCUUCUCAAGGACUGGAGCAGGAAUAAAGGAAGGGCAGGUGCCUCUCCAGACCCUGAGUUACCCUCCUUUGUGAGAAUUCAGACUCCUCCAGUGUCCCCAAACUUUGUUUGAUGCUGAUCCCUGAGCAGUGGUUUUCACCUCUCCCAACUUCUUGCCUCUUCGUCCACGAGGAACAACCAUUCUGAAGACCAAAGCUGAGUCUCAGCCUCAGGGAGUGGCAGAUUGAUCAGACCUGAUUGAGAACCUCUUAAAGGAACGAACAGCUGUAAUGGGAAAGUUGGACUCUGUCAUCCGUUAGGAUGAUUCUGGAAGCAAGAAGAACAAGGCUGACAUCUUGGAGCAAUUGUAUUUACAAUUAACAUGGCUGAAAACGAUUGCCUCUAUUGAUCCCCCCUUCCUGCAAUUACAGCCCCAUUGUUUACAUUCCAGCACUUCAGUUAUAAAAAGGAAAUUCAAUAAUUAUUGCAUUAUUUAAA
This is a long non-coding RNA of Peromyscus maniculatus bairdii (prairie deer mouse), 612 nucleotides long. RefSeq lists it as uncharacterized. NCBI's taxonomy places the organism in Eukaryota, Metazoa, Chordata, Mammalia, Rodentia, Cricetidae. The record is from RefSeq and is a predicted model, not a curated record.